UUUUGGACAAUGGGGGCAACCCUGAUCCAGCCAUGCCGCGUGAGUGAAGAAGGCCUUCGGGUUGUAAAGCUCUUUCGGACGGAACGAAAUGGGCGGGACUAAUACUCCUGUCUGAUGACGGUACCGUAAGAAGAAGCACCGGCUAACUACGUGCCAGCAGCCGCGGUAAUACGUAGGGUGCGAGCGUUAAUCGGAAUUACUGGGCGUAAAGCGUGCGCAGGCGGUUUCGUAAGCUGGAGGUGAAAUCCCCGGGCUUAACCUGGGAAUGGCCUUCAGGACUGCGAGGCUAGAGUGCGGCAGAGGGAGGUGGAAUUCCACGUGUAGCAGUGAAAUGCGUAGAGAUGUGGAGGAACACCGAUGGCGAAGGCGGCCUCCUGGGCCAGCACUGACGCUCAUGCACGAAA
RNAcentral lists this ribosomal RNA (404 nucleotides) under uncultured bacterium. RNAcentral's name for it is "bacterial SSU rRNA". It matches the Rfam family "Bacterial small subunit ribosomal RNA", at positions 362 to 758 of the family's 1533-position model. The record is from RNAcentral.